This 253-nucleotide ribosomal RNA is filed under the name uncultured bacterium. Its description in RNAcentral is "partial 16S ribosomal RNA". It matches the Rfam family "Bacterial small subunit ribosomal RNA", at positions 524 to 776 of the family's 1533-position model. The record is from RNAcentral.
UACGUAGGGUGCAAGCGUUAAUCGGAAUUACUGGGCGUAAAGCGUGCGCAGGCGGUUUUGUAAGUCUGUCGUGAAAGCCCCGGGCUCAACCUGGGAACUGCAUUUGUGACUGCAAGGCUAGAGUACGGCAGAGGGGGAUGGAAUUCCGCGUGUAGCAGUGAAAUGCGUAGAUAUGCGGAGGAACACCAAUGGCGAAGGCAAUCCCCUGGGCCUGUACUGACGCUCAUGCACGAAAGCGUGGGGAGCAAACAGG